Molecule: ribosomal RNA, 497 nt
Filed under: uncultured bacterium
Lineage: Bacteria
Description: partial 16S ribosomal RNA
Rfam family: Bacterial small subunit ribosomal RNA
Source: RNAcentral
GAUGAACGCUGGCGGCGUGCCUAAUACAUGCAAGUCGAGCGAACAGACGAGGAGCUUGCUCCUCUGACGUUAGCGGCGGACGGGUGAGUAACACGUGGAUAACCUACCUAUAAGACUGGGAUAACUUCGGGAAACCGGAGCUAAUACCGGAUAAUAUAUUGAACCGCAUGGUUCAAUAGUGAAAGACGGUUUUGCUGUCACUUAUAGAUGGAUCCGCGCCGCAUUAGCUAGUUGGUAAGGUAACGGCUUACCAAGGCAACGAUGCGUAGCCGACCUGAGAGGGUGAUCGGCCACACUGGAACUGAGACACGGUCCAGACUCCUACGGGAGGCAGCAGUAGGGAAUCUUCCGCAAUGGGCGAAAGCCUGACGGAGCAACGCCGCGUGAGUGAUGAAGGUCUUCGGAUCGUAAAACUCUGUUAUUAGGGAAGAACAAAUGUGUAAGUAACUAUGCACGUCUUGACGGUACCUAAUCAGAAAGCCACGGCUAACAACGUG